RNAcentral lists this ribosomal RNA (218 nucleotides) under uncultured bacterium. Its description in RNAcentral is "partial 16S ribosomal RNA". It matches the Rfam family "Bacterial small subunit ribosomal RNA", at positions 1 to 247 of the family's 1533-position model. The record is from RNAcentral.
UAGUGAGUUUGAUCCUGGCUCAGGAUGAACGCUGGCGGUCUGCUUAACACAUGCAAGUCGAACGCAAGUAGAAAUACUUGAGUGGCGGACGGGUGAGUAACGCGUGAGAAUCUGCCUUCUGGUCGGGGACAACCACUGGAAACGGUGGCUAAUACCGGAUAUGCCUAUAGGGUGAAAGAUUUUAUGUCCUGGGAGUAGAGCUCGCGUCUGAUUAGCUA